GGAUCCUGGGUAAGUUUCUUGAUGUCUUGGCACCUCAGUUUCCUCAUCUUUAAAAUGGGACAGCAGUGGAACCAACCUCAUAGGGAUACUGGGAGAAUUAAAUGAGAUAAUGCAAAAAACAAACAAACAAACAAACAAAAAACCCCCGCACUGGUUCCAGAGUGUGUACCUCAUAUGACAUAUGCUCAGGAUAAAAAUGACCACCCCAAUGUACGGAUUUAGGCUGUGGGAAGGGGUCUGAUCUGGGGCCACAGGGCUUGCUUGGUAGUCACUGUAUUUGUAGGAGUACAGGUUUGGCUGCUGUAACUAAGACAGUCCAAAGUAUGGUGACUUGCCCAGAUAGAAUUUGGUCUCAUCCUAUGUGACAGGUGGCAGUCUGGGGCUUUCAGGUCAGCUCUGCAUCCUUAAGCUGGAGGAUGGCUACCUGGGUCACCUUUUAUGUUCUGAGGAGCCUGCUCUUGAUUCUCUCAUCUCCCAAAAAUAGGAACGAGAAAAGGGACUGGGAGUGGGGAGGGAAUUAUCCUUCUGAUUCUUUCUUUUUUUCUUUAAUUUUAUUGGAGCAAAGUUGACUGACACUGUUGUGUUAGUUUUAGGCGUAGAGCAAAGUGAAUCCAUCAUACAUAUAUAUCUAUCCAUUCUUUUUUUUUUUCCCAUAUAGGUUAUUAUAAACUAUUGCGUAGACUCUCCUGUGCUCUACAGUAGGUUCUUGGUUUUUUUGGUUUGUUUGUUUGUUUUGUCUUUUUGCCUUUUCUCGGGCCGCUCCAGUGGCAUAUGGAGGUUCUCAGGCUAGAGGUCUAAUUGGAACUAUAGCUGCCAGCCUACGCCAGAACCACAGCAACAUGGGAUCCGAGCCGUGUCUGCGACCUACACCACAGCUCACAGCAAUGCUGGAUCCUUAACCCACAGAGCGAGGCCAGGGAUCGAACCCACAGCCUUAUGGUUCCUAGUCGGAUUCGUUAACCACUGAGCCACAACGGGAACGCCUACAGUAGGUUCUUUUUAUGCAUCUAUUUUAUACAGUAGUGUGUAUAUGUUAUUCCCAUUUCCCAAUUCCUCUCUUCCCCAAGGGUUUCGCCUAUGGUUACCCAUAAUAUUGGUUUUGAAAUCUGUGAGCUGGUUUCUGUUUUACAAAUAAGUUCUUUGGUAUCAUUUUUAAAUUAGAUCCCCCAUAUAAGUGAUGCCAUAUGAUGUUUGUCUUUCUCUGCCUGAUUUCCUUCACUCAAUAUGAUAAUCUCUAGAUCUAUCCGUGUUGCUGCAAAGGGCAUUAUUUCAUUCUUUUUUUUAUGGCUGAAUAAAGGAAGAUGUGGUACAGACAUACGAUGGACUAUCAUCUUUCCAAUUCUUUGAGGGUAAGAUCCAGAAGGGACCCCAUCACUUCUGCCCACGUUACCACAUCACAUGACCACACCCACUGCAAGAGAGACUGGGAAACGUGCUCCUUGGUGUGAUGGCCAUGUUGCCAGCCAAAGUGUUACAUUCUGAAAGGAUGGGAGCAUAGAAAUCGGGAGACAACCAGCAGGCUGCCAGAGCCGCUCAAGAUCUCAUUAAAAAGGCAAGAAUGAUAGUUACCUUUCAAGAGGGCUCUUUGCUGGUUUUCGGCAGCAGCAGUGCUCUACACAAAGCCACACUCCCCACGAACCAGAAGGGAAUUGCGGAAAUGAUUCAAGCUCCCUGGCUGACUCAUACAUUGAGCAUCCUGGAGAGAAAAGUAGCCAUACACCCAUUGGAGGCUUGGGGUUUCGUUUAUAAUAAUAAUAAUAAUGACUUUGGCACAGAAAACUUCCUGAGGGUUAAUGAAUGACUGGCUUGGAUUAUUAGCCCAAAUCGCUGCCUGAAGUCUAUCAAUGCCUUCCAGCUUCAUUUAAUCUACAGGAAAUUCUUUGUGUACACCCAGCUAUUACUGCUUCAAUCUCACAACAUAAAAAUGAAUGGAUGCUUCAUUGGAACUUGUGGGGAAAAAAAAAAAAAAAAAA
RNAcentral lists this long non-coding RNA (1973 nucleotides) under Sus scrofa (pig). RNAcentral describes it as "lncRNA (ENSSSCG00035031726.1)". Lineage: Eukaryota; Metazoa; Chordata; Mammalia; Artiodactyla; Suidae. The record is from RNAcentral.